UGCUAAUACCGCAUGACAUAUCGGAACCACAUGGUUUUGAUAUCAAAGAUUUUAUCGCUUGAAGAUGGACUCGCGUCCGAUUAGUUAGUUGGUGAGGUAACGGCUCACCAAGACCGCGAUCGGUAGCCGGACUGAGAGGUUGAACGGCCACAUUGGGACUGAGACACGGCCCAGACUCCUACGGGAGGCAGCAUG
Molecule: ribosomal RNA, 195 nt
Filed under: uncultured bacterium
Lineage: Bacteria
Description: partial 16S ribosomal RNA
Rfam family: Bacterial small subunit ribosomal RNA
Source: RNAcentral